UCUUUGGUGGUCCAGUGGUUAGGACUCUGUACUUUCACUGCUGUGGCUCAAGUUCAAUCUCUGAUCAUGGAA
RNAcentral lists this transfer RNA (72 nucleotides) under Bos taurus (domestic cattle). It matches the Rfam family "tRNA". Rfam says of the family: Transfer RNA (tRNA) molecules are approximately 80 nucleotides in length. Their secondary structure includes four short double-helical elements and three loops (D, anti-codon, and T loops). RNAcentral also lists the same sequence under 1 other name. Lineage: Eukaryota; Metazoa; Chordata; Mammalia; Artiodactyla; Bovidae. The record is from Rfam by way of RNAcentral.